CUUCGUAGUGUAAUGGUCAGCACGCUGGGUGCGUAUUCCAGAGGUCCGUGGUUCGAGUCCCGGCUAAG
Molecule: transfer RNA, 68 nt
Filed under: Stegodyphus mimosarum
Lineage: Eukaryota; Metazoa; Arthropoda; Arachnida; Araneae; Eresidae
Rfam family: tRNA
About the family: Transfer RNA (tRNA) molecules are approximately 80 nucleotides in length. Their secondary structure includes four short double-helical elements and three loops (D, anti-codon, and T loops).
Source: Rfam by way of RNAcentral